RNAcentral lists this ribosomal RNA (542 nucleotides) under uncultured bacterium. Its description in RNAcentral is "bacterial SSU rRNA". It matches the Rfam family "Bacterial small subunit ribosomal RNA", at positions 60 to 597 of the family's 1533-position model. The record is from RNAcentral.
AGUCGAGCGGUAGAGAGGAGCUUGCUCCUCUUGAGAGCGGCGGACGGGUGAGUAAUGCCUAGGAAUCUGCCUGGUAGUGGGGGAUAACGUUCGGAAACGGACGCUAAUACCGCAUACGUCCUACGGGAGAAAGCAGGGGACCUUCGGGCCUUGCGCUAUCAGAUGAGCCUAGGUCGGAUUAGCUAGUUGGUGAGGUAAUGGCUCACCAAGGCGACGAUCCGUAACUGGUCUGAGAGGAUGAUCAGUCACACUGGAACUGAGACACGGUCCAGACUCCUACGGGAGGCAGCAGUGGGGAAUAUUGGACAAUGGGCGAAAGCCUGAUCCAGCCAUGCCGCGUGUGUGAAGAAGGUCUUCGGAUUGUAAAGCACUUUAAGUUGGGAGGAAGGGCAGUAAAUUAAUACUUUGCUGUUUUGACGUUACCGACAGAAUAAGCACCGGCUAACUCUGUGCCAGCAGCCGCGGUAAUACAGAGGGUGCAAGCGUUAAUCGGAAUUACUGGGCGUAAAGCGCGCGUAGGUGGUUUGUUAAGUUGGAUGUGA